This 72-nucleotide transfer RNA is filed under the name Heterocephalus glaber (naked mole-rat). It matches the Rfam family "tRNA". Rfam says of the family: Transfer RNA (tRNA) molecules are approximately 80 nucleotides in length. Their secondary structure includes four short double-helical elements and three loops (D, anti-codon, and T loops). The record is from Rfam by way of RNAcentral. Lineage: Eukaryota; Metazoa; Chordata; Mammalia; Rodentia; Bathyergidae.
GCAGGUGUAGCUCAGUGGUAAAGUGCUCACCUAGCAUGUAUGAGGCUCUGGGUUCGAUUCCCCAGUACUGCA